Non-coding RNA from Mycobacterium longobardum, 68 nucleotides. The record is from Rfam. NCBI's taxonomy places the organism in Bacteria, Bacillati, Actinomycetota, Actinomycetes, Mycobacteriales, Mycobacteriaceae.
AGGUUCACCGGGUCGAUCCCGCGGGUGACGAUGAGGUAGUCGCGCAGCGCGAUGCUGUGGCGGCCCUC